GAUGGACAUUGCAUACGGCUUUUACGUAUCCGGCGCUGGGAUUGCCGGGGCGGCGGGGCUGCUUGGAAUCAUAUUGCUGUUCAAUCUGCUGCUCAACC
Molecule: transfer RNA, 98 nt
Filed under: bioreactor metagenome
Description: tRNA-Pro
Source: RNAcentral